UAGGGUCGAAGCACGACUAAGCUGUCAUAAGCUAAAGACGCACCUAAGACACUUUCAAAAUAACCCUAGCAUUAUCGAUCAAUUUAACUCCACGAAAGCCUGGGCACAAACUGGGAUUAGAUACCCCACUAUGCCUGGCCCUAAAUCUCGAUGCUUGCUAUACUAGAGCAUCCGCCUGAGAACUACGAGCACAAACGCUUAAAACUCUAAGGACUUGGCGGUGCCCCAAAUCCACCUAGAGGAGCCUGUUCUAUAAUCGAUAACCCACGAUAUACCCGACCACCCCUCGCCCAAAACAGCCUAUAUACCGCCGUCGCCAGCUCACCUUCCCUGAAAGUGCAGCAGUGAGCAUAAUAGCCAAAACCCGCUAACAAGACAGGUCAAGGUAUAGCCCAUGGGGUGGAAGAAAUGGGCUACAUUCUCUAAAGUAGAGAACUUCACGGAAGGGGGCAUGAAACAACCCCCGGAAGGCGGAUUUAGCAGUAAACUGGACAAUAGAGCCCUCUUUAAGUUGGCCCUGGGCACGUACAUACCGCCCGUCACCCUCC
RNAcentral lists this ribosomal RNA (548 nucleotides) under Glareola maldivarum. Its description in RNAcentral is "partial 12S ribosomal RNA". It matches the Rfam family "Bacterial small subunit ribosomal RNA", at positions 657 to 1405 of the family's 1533-position model. Lineage: Eukaryota; Metazoa; Chordata; Aves; Charadriiformes; Glareolidae. The record is from RNAcentral.